CAAUCUCAUAGCGGACUCCCCGGUGUUGCCCUUAUGAUCUCCCCACUCCCUCUUCAGUGUUCUGUGAGCCUUAGGUGUGGGACUUGUUUUGUAAAUGUAUCUACCGGGACUGACUGCACUCCACACCCUGACACUCUUUCCUCUACUUUUACUCAGAAUAUUUAUUUUGAAAUUCUCAUUUUAUUUCACAGGAUGGAUAUCCCAUUGAGUACUUAUUCACCUACUGAUAUAUGUUUGAGUUGUGUCCAGUUUCUUGCGCAUCAUAAUAAAGCCGUGUGUAAACCCAUGGUUAUGCUGGGAGCCCUAGAUAUUCUGUUCAUGCUGAUGUCUUACCUGAGGAUCUGGAAACCUGCUUUCCUGAAGCUUCUCUCGCCAUUCCCAGAUGUUAUCCUUGUUCAGCCACACAAUGAGAUGUCACAGACAUCUACUCUUUGACCAAGAGAAUGAGUUUUUGCUGAGAAAGAAGCCUAAUGAGAAGAGUGGGAAGGUCACUUCUGCUUUACUGGUGGAUUUGGACUGUCUCCAUGCUUCAACUGGGCUCUCCUGUGGUCACGUUUACUUCUUGCUGUGACUGAAAUAUCCCAAAGAACAACCUCAAGGAGAAAGGACUUAUUUGGGUUCACAGUUUCAGAGCAUUCAGUCCAUGGUUGUCUGACCCCAUGUGUUUGGGACGAACAUCAAGGGAUGGUUAGAGUACUGGGAGCACAGGGGAAAGUUGUUGACCUUGUAAACAGGGAGCAGAGAGUAAGACAAGAUUGGGGUGGGGAUGGGGCAUGGGAUAGGGCCAGGGAAAAUGCAACCAUGCUGCAAAUGGCUUACUUUCUUCAUCUAAGCCCCACACCCUUAAGUUUCCAUAACAUCACCAAAUAAUGUCAGCAAAUGGGGACCAAGCAUUAGACACAUGUACCUGUGUGGGAUAUGUAAACCAUAUCCAACCCUGUCAGACAUAUGGGUAAUACACCUCACAGGAGCAUCUAUUUUUAUGUAUGAUUGUCGUUAAGGCUCCAGUUAGGACCUAUUGAGAUUUUCUUACUCUCCUCCCUUAUAGAUAGAAUUAUGCAAUCAUCCCAUGCCCUGUUCUCAUGAGCAACAUCAGGCAUUCCUUACGAAGUUGGUCUGUAAAUCAAAAGCCUGGCAAUGGUUUUAGGGAUUUCCUAGAUAGCUUGUUGGGCCAGGCAGGAGAUUCAGCAGUCCAUCCUCCACGAGCUUCUCUUGGUUAUUUCAAAGAGACUUCAGUGCUGAUGGUGAAAUGUCUGUGAGAAAUUUCUAUGUGUAAGGCACACUCCUCAGAAUCAUAAAGGGACAUAGAGAAGGACAGCGAAAGCCCUUGACUUCAGCACAUUAUGACCAGGAAUCCAGGUCACAAACAUGAAAUUAAACAAUGAACUAAGGGUCUUGUAUGAACACAAAGAGCAAAGUCCCAGAGAUGUUCCAGAGCAGGGUGUAGUUAAGAAUUGGGUUAACUCAACAUACCUAACCUUUUCUAGGAAAACGAAGGCAUCUACUACCGUCUAACACAGCCUUUGUAUUCAUUCUCUCUCAAAGGCAAAGCCAGAUUUUAUGUCCCACCCUAUGGAAUUCAUGAUUUGUUUUCCAGCCAAAACACAGAAACAGAGCGGUGCUUAUUAUUUUAUUUAUCCAAACAAAGAGUUGAUGCAACUAGAUUAGAUAGUUUAAUUUCCUAGGAAAAGUUUCACUGAGUCACUGAGCCAUAUAGAACAGCACACUGCUGUGUGUCUUAAGAAGUCCAGAAACAACACGUAGUGGCAAAAUCAUAAAAUAAAAUAAAAUAAAAUAAAAAUAAUAAAAUAAUA
Molecule: long non-coding RNA, 1814 nt
Organism: Mus spicilegus (steppe mouse)
Lineage: Eukaryota; Metazoa; Chordata; Mammalia; Rodentia; Muridae
Source: Ensembl